Molecule: ribosomal RNA, 569 nt
Filed under: uncultured bacterium
Lineage: Bacteria
Description: partial 16S ribosomal RNA
Rfam family: Bacterial small subunit ribosomal RNA
Source: RNAcentral
UGGGGAAUAUUGGACAAUGGGCGCAAGCCUGAUCCAGCCAUGCCGCGUGUGUGAAGAGGGCCUUCGGGUUGUAAAGCACUUUUGUCCGGAAAGAAAUCCUGUCGGUUAAUACCCGGCGGGGAUGACGGUACCGGAAGAAUAAGCACCGGCUAACUUCGUGCCAGCAGCCGCGGUAAUACGAAGGGUGCAAGCGUUACUCGGAAUUACUGGGCGUAAAGCGUGCGUAGGUGGUCUGUUAAGUCUGAUGUGAAAGCCCUGGGCUCAACCUGGGAACUGCAUUGGAUACUGGCAGUCUGGAGUGCGGUAGAGGGUAGCGGAAUUCCCGGUGUAGCAGUGAAAUGCGUAGAUAUCGGGAGGAACAUCCGUGGCGAAGGCGGCUACCUGGACCAGCACUGACACUGAGGCACGAAAGCGUGGGGAGCAAACAGGAUUAGAUACCCUGGGUAGUCCACGCCCUAAACGAUGCGAACUGGAUGUUGGGAGCAACUAGGCUCUCAGUAUCGAAGCUAACGCGUUAAGUUCGCCGCCUGGGAAGUACGGUCGCAAGACUGAAACUCAAAUGAAUUGAC